This is a long non-coding RNA of Pyrus x bretschneideri (Chinese white pear), 2633 nucleotides long. RefSeq lists it as uncharacterized. NCBI's taxonomy places the organism in Eukaryota, Viridiplantae, Streptophyta, Magnoliopsida, Rosales, Rosaceae. The transcript has 6 exons. The record is from RefSeq and is a predicted model, not a curated record.
CCUACCCUUUUUUGCCCUUCAGUUGCUCUUCAAGUCUAGCUUUUUUUGUGUAUUACACACUAAAGCGACGGUUUUGGCCCUGCUGUCCGGUAGAAAUCUCUUGACCUCUUCGGAAACCAGAGAAAACUCAACUGCUGUGCAACGUGAUUGGCAAUUUCGAUCAUGCUUAUUACGCUCCACUUUGCGAUCUCUUCCAUCUCUAUUUCAUGAUUUCUUUGAUCUCUACUUUCUCAUCUCUUCAAUCUCUGCUUCGCGAUCUCCUCAUCGCCGCAUCUUGCUCCCAAUCUCUCCUUACACAGGUUUUUUCUUAAAACAUGUGACCCAACUUUUUCUUUUAGAGAGAAGAACAUGCAUUCACUUUACUACGUGUUGUCCGUAAGAGAAACGUACAAGUUAGUUCAUUUCAUUGAAACCUUUGGUCUAGGCUUGAAAAUCAAUGCUGACAGGAGAGGGCGGUGCCUGAUCUUUGGGUUGAAUCUGUCCGCCUUGCCAUUUUCGUUGCAAUAUCAGUGAAAGGUAAAUUUGUUCUCUGUGAUUUUUUUUUGUUGGGGUAAGUGAUUUGAUGAGUCGUGAUUUUUGUUGGGGUAAGUGUUUUGAUGCUAGUUUGUUCAUGUUAUACAAACAGUAAAAUCACGAAGACUCUAUAAUGUAAACCAUUUUAAUAGUAGAUUGUUUCUAGCCUUAUCUAAUUGCAAAGGUUUGAGUUUUUAUUUUUUGAGUUAAGUAUUUAGUUACUGGAUUGCAUCUCCUCUGCUCUUUCUCCUGGUAUUUUUUUCAUCCCUAUUUUUCCUAUCCAACUUUGUGUUUUUUUUUAUAUAUCAACUUUUUCCGUGUUUGAAUGAUUCUCAUCCGCUUUUUGUUCUUUUUUUUUUUUUUCCUAUUACUUAGAAUUACAUUAACAGGCAUUUGCACACAAAUGCAUUUACUUUAAAGCACAGAUAUGAAAUCUUCCAUGCAGGGAAUUCAGUCGUUUUGAAGAUCAGCUUAACCUGUAAUUAUAUACCAAGUUUUUUUUCCCUCAAUUUUUACAAGUGAAAUAAUAUGUUGGAAUUUUCUUGAUUAAUGAAAGUGUAAAUUUGUAGAUAAUGUCAAUUGAAAUUUUCAUUAAUUCUAUCAUCAAGAUGUCAUCUUUAGCAUAUUUUCUGAUAAAACUAGUUAAAUAUUUUCAGUUUAUUAUUCUAUUUUUUGCCAUUUAAGUUCAAUAUCACAGCUCUCUUGAUCGAUAUGCUUUUUUUUCUUCUGAUUUAGGAUUUGCAAAUGGGUAUUCUAUUUAAAUUUUUUUUUUUUCCAUGGUUUUGAAGGUUUUCUUUGUACCUUCCAAUCUUGCAUGUAGGUGUAUAAUUUGGUUUAGUCAUUGAGACGAGAAAUUUCAACUGCUUCCUUUGUGUCUUUUCUCAAACAAAAUGCUGAAAUAUUUGAUUUAUUAAUGUUAUUACGUUGAUUGUUGUUCAUGUUAUUUGCUUGCAUUUUCCAUCCCUAUGAAUUAUUCAAAAAGAUAAAAUUGCUGCAAUUAGUUUGGUUACUUUACAGGAAAGCUUAUAUAGAUUUUUUAUCAACAAAUUCCACUUUCCAACGCUUCGCUUUCUUCAAUUGCAGGUAUUCGAAUGUUGCAUGUAAAAAUUUUUUUCUCCACUAAUUAAAAAGAACCUUUUGUUCACUGGGCAAAAGCCAUAUUGUUUCUAUGGCACAUAUACGUUGGAAAUAAAGUACAAUAUAAAUUAUUUGUGUUUAAUUGAUUAAGUACGUGAUGUUCAUUUGAGGCUAUACAAACUAAAUUUGUUGUAUGUCAACUUAAUUUAGGUAAGAACCAUGAAUCUCUAAUCCUUUUCAAUUUUUGUUUAUUCCAGCUUCACAUUAUUCUAAAUCCAUAUUUAUGGAAGAAAAAAAAAAAAGGAGUUUCCAACUAUGACACUGAAGAAAUGUAGUAUUCUCUUUCGUUGUUAACUUAUUAAAAAUGAUUUUCUAAGCAUUGUUGUUCUCAAUUUAUUCAUUUGCAGUGUAGGAGUUGGUUAUCUCAUUGACCCUACCCUUUACUGCCCACACAAGUGGUCAACAUUCUGAAUCACAUUUUAUCUAAAAUGUAGUUUACAAGGGAAAAUUCAUGCGCCACUAAUCUACCACAACUCAAAGUUAAAGAUCAAGAAGAGUUGAUGAAAGAAGCAGUGACAAGCAUCUUACAAACGUCUCUCAGUUUUUAUUCAACAAUCCAAGCGUAUAACAGUCAUAGGCUGGAGAUUAUAGGCGUCCCAUGUUUCUACUCCCGGGUUUGGUAAAGCAGAAAUUUAUAUUUUGUUGUACAGUUAACUUGGUUUAAAUUUCAGGCGUUGUGGCUUUAGUAUUUCCCAGUCUGAGUUCUAUAUAUAUAUAUCAGAAUAACAGUAUUUUUUCGUAUGUAUUGUGAAUAAUUGUUAUUCUAACAGGAACUGCAAUGGUGGAAGGGAAGAAACAUAAAAGCAAUGUUAUUCCAGCCAAAAGCCUUAUUCCCCCAACAUUUGGCAUGAUUGCUGAAACUUUCAAUUCAUUGUACCUAAAUAAAUUGAAACAAUGUUCUAAGACACAAUCUUUUAUAUGUUUCAAACAUAAUCUGCAUACAAUUUCUAAUCCUGCUGCAAUGCGCGGGUAGUAAUUUCUAA